Molecule: RNA transcript, 3848 nt
Organism: Mauremys mutica (yellowpond turtle)
Lineage: Eukaryota; Metazoa; Chordata; Testudines; Geoemydidae
Gene: TFDP1
Gene name: transcription factor Dp-1
Exons: 13
Source: RefSeq, a predicted model, not a curated record
GAAAAAAAAUUUCUAGGGCCGCGUCCGCGCGCCGGAGCCGGGGAGGGGCGGCUGCGCCCCCGCCCCCACACAGGGAGCCCUCCGAGGGGAGGGGGGAGCCUGCGCAGAAAAUAACAUCACUGUUCCUGUUUCCUUCUGUGGGCAUCAAGCAUUUAAGCGCCUUGAUUUCUAGCCAUUGGUAACAUGGCAAAAGAUGCUGGACUAAUCGAAGCCAAUGGAGAGCUUAAGGUUUUUAUAGACCAAAACCUUAGUCCUGGAAAAGGGGUUGUUUCAUUAGUGGCUGUUCAUCCUUCUACAGUAAAUACACUUGGAAAACAGCUCCUGCCAAAAACGUUUGGACAGUCUAAUGUCAACAUUGCACAGCAAGUGGUUAUUGGUACACCUCAGAGACCUUCAGCGCCAAAUACUAUCCUGGUAGGAAGUCCACAUACACCCAGUUCACACUUUGUAUCACAGAACCAGACUGCAGACUCUUCGCCUUGGUCUGCUGGGAAGCGCAAUAAAAAAGGAGAGAAGAAUGGCAAGGGUUUGCGACACUUCUCUAUGAAGGUUUGUGAGAAGGUACAGAGAAAAGGAACCACCUCAUACAAUGAGGUGGCGGAUGAGUUGGUUGCAGAGUUUAGUACCACGGAUAAUCACAUUUCACCAAAUGAAUCACAGGCUUAUGACCAGAAGAAUAUUAGACGACGUGUCUACGAUGCCUUAAAUGUCCUUAUGGCUAUGAAUAUUAUCUCUAAGGAGAAGAAGGAAAUCAAAUGGAUUGGUCUACCUACUAACUCAGCUCAGGAAUGUCAGAAUUUAGAGGUGGAGAGACAGAGAAGACUUGAAAGAAUAAAGCAAAAACAGUCUCAGCUACAAGAACUUAUUCUACAGCAAAUUGCCUUCAAGAACCUCGUUCAACGAAAUCGUCAAACAGAACAACAGGCAAACCGACCACCGCCUUCCAAUUCUGUCAUACAUCUGCCAUUUAUCAUUGUGAACACCAGCAAGAAGACCGUGAUCGAUUGUAGUAUUUCAAAUGACAAGUUUGAAUAUCUAUUUAAUUUUGACAAUACUUUUGAAAUUCAUGAUGAUAUAGAAGUAUUAAAGCGAAUGGGAAUGGCUUGUGGGCUAGAAUCUGGAAGCUGUUCAGCAGAGGACCUAAAAAUUGCCAGGAGUUUGGUUCCUAAAGCUCUGGAACCAUAUGUGACAGAAAUGGCUCAGGGAUCAAUCAGCAGUGUAUAUGUAACAACAUCAUCAGGUUCCACUUCAGACGUCACUAGAUUUUCUGCCAGUGACUUUACCAAUGGUGGAGACGGGAUGUUAGCAACAAGUUCCAAUGGAUCGCAGUACAGUGGCUCCAGAGUUGAAACACCAGUCUCUUAUGUUGGAGAUGAUGACGACGAGGAUGAUGACUUUAAUGAAAAUGACGAUGAUGACUGAUCCUUUUUGAUUGUAUACUUUUCAGGAAUAAAAUUAUUCUAGGGAGAGAGCGCACUCACGCGCGCUCUCUCUCUCUCUCUAUUUUUCUUUCUCUCUCAAAAUAUACAUAUAUAUCUAUAUCUAGAUAUAUAUAUUUUGCCCCGUCCCACAAGGAAAAUAUUGGUAAGCAGUUCUGAGUUUAGAAAUUGCACCUCAGAUAAGCAAAUAAGGAUUGUUUUAUGUAGGAUAUUUUUAAAUGUGGUGUGGAUGUGUGUUUUGAUACCAGUGUGUUAAUGCAGAGCCUUUAUUAUUUGCUCUUUUUUUUUUUUUUUUUUUUUACUUGAAGGAAAAUGCAUUUUCCCCCAAAUGUUAUUGCUAAGUUUGCUAAAGAAAAUGUAGCCACAUCAGUGAAGAAAUAAAAUGCUAACUUUCGGUGAGAAAUGGGUACACUGAAUGGCCAUAAGUUUGGAGUGUAUUUUGAUGACAGCCUUUGUUGAGGGAUGGCAAGCUCAUGUAGUAGUUGUGGGGAUAUUGAUAUUUUUAUUUUUAUUUUUUUUUUUUUUGUUAAUCAUGCAGUGUCCAAAGAACCAAACGAGAUCCAUUUUACUUUUUUACAUGUGAAAUUCCAUAAAUGUUGUGAAUUUAUUUUCCCUUAAAUAAUAUCUAACACGAUUCCAUCAAGUUUAUACGCUGUUUUCGCUGAAUGUUGGGACAUAUGAAUUACAAAGUUUUUGGCAAAUGUUUACUGCCAGCUGAUGCAGCUAUAUAAAAUGUCUUGAAGGUUUGGAAUGAGUUAUUGCUUAUGGUAAAAAUUGCCUGAUUUCUUACAGGCAGACUUUGGAAACUUUUUAUUAUAUAGUUGUUUACAUACUUAUAAGUCUAUCAUAUAAAGACAUGUACUGAAACAAAUGUUUGUAUUUGUUUCAUAAGCAUCUUCCUGUAAUCUAUUAUAAAGUUGAAAUUAAAUAUAGAGAAUGUUUUAAGUUUUUUAACUCAAAAUUGUCAAUCAUUUUUAAUAGUUCAUUUUUUAUAAAAGGAAUUUCAGGGCAGGUGGUAGUCUUUUAAAAUUUAUUCACAAAACAUUUAACUGCACAAAUACUGUCAGCUGCCUAUCUAAGACAGUAGUCUUUUUAUUGAAACACAAACUUUUCUGUAAUAUUUUAUGGAAUAUAAAGAGACUUUAAAAUUGUUUGACAUGUUUAACCUUGGCACUGUUAGUUUUUAUUAAUAAAACGCGCAUGGGCAUUUUUAACAAACUCUGUGUUUUUCUAAUUUAGGAUUAUUCUACCUAGAACAUUUAAUCUUAUUCAGGGGCUUAGCAGAUGUCCCCAUGGUCAAGUGGAGGCAUGAGUAUCUAGAAGAACCCAUUGGUUUUAAAUGGGUAACGAAACAGAUGUCCCGCUUCAUCAUACCCCAGGAUGCAUGUGUUCCUUUGCACUACUGAUGUGAGCAACAAUCCUUCCUUAGCAGCUGAGGCAGCCCGAUCCACUUUUGCAAGGAAGAGCAGAAGCCACAUCUGUAUCUGCACAGCCUAUCACAAUAUUUGAAUGGCAGCACAAAGACUGAUGCUCUGGAAAUGGCCAUAGAUGUACUAAGAACCUUGGAAAUGCUUCAUAAACUUCCAAGGCCCAUGUCCACUAUGUAUGCUUUACUAAUGAAGAGGAACUCCAUUGGUCUGAAGUUCUUUGUAAAAGCAUAGGAAGAGGAAUGUUAAAAAUGUUUCUGUGGAUCUGAGGUAACAAUGCUUCUGUGGAUCUGAUACAGCAAAAGAUUUUAUUCAAAAUGUAUUGGAUGUCAUAGUUUGUUCAAGAAUUGAGGGAGGGGCUUGUACUAUAUUUGUUGGUGCUGUAAUAGAACAAAAGGAGCUCUAAUGCAUAUGCUAUAGGACUUUGGCAGCUGUGGAAAGAGGUGGACACAAGUGAAAAUUAGUUCUUCGCUUCAGCAGCCAAACUUUAGCUGAAAAUUACAUCCUAGGUUACGGACCUACUACACUGUUACACCACAAAGACUUUGAUUCUUCAGGGCUACAGUGAUUACCAAGCACAUGAUUUUACAAAAAUGGAGUAGUAGUGCUAUUUGGAACUGUGAGAGUUAAGAACAAAAUAAAGAAUAGCUUUUCAAUGUACAAGGCAAAAUUAUAUUAAUUCAAAGACAUUUGGACCACAUUUCUUGAUACAUUUGAAUAAAGAAUGCUGAGAUGGCUCAAAUAAUGCCAAACUUCCGGUCCCCCUGCCCUCUCUACUUUUUCUCCUCUUCUUGAGCCUCCCUCCCUUAAUCCCUCAUUCCCUUUUUUGCGUAUUCCUCUUUUUUUUUUAAUCCACAGCCUAACAUGUUAUGUCUGCAUAAUAUUGUCUGAUUUUUGUAUUGUCUGAUCUUGCAGCUUUGACAAAUUGUAAAGUUGUCUAAUUGCAUAUUUUUAUUGGCUAUUCUGUGAAAUUUGUGGUGUU